RNAcentral lists this ribosomal RNA (613 nucleotides) under uncultured bacterium. RNAcentral describes it as "bacterial SSU rRNA". It matches the Rfam family "Bacterial small subunit ribosomal RNA", at positions 28 to 636 of the family's 1533-position model. The record is from RNAcentral.
AUUGAACGCUGGCGGCAUGCCUUACACAUGCAAGUCGAACGGCAGCGCGGGAGCAAUCCUGGCGGCGAGUGGCGAACGGGUGAGUAAUAUAUCGGAACGUGCCCAGUAGCGGGGGAUAACGCAGCGAAAGCUGUGCUAAUACCGCAUACGCACUAUGGUGGAAAGAAGGGGAUCGCAAGACCUUUCACUAUUGGAGCGGCCGAUAUCAGAUUAGCUUGUUGGCGGGGUAAAAGCCCACCAAGGCGACGAUCUGUAGCUGGUUUGAGAGAACGACCAGCCACACUGGGACUGAGACACGGCCCAGACUCCUACGGGAGGCAGCAGUGGGGAAUUUUGGACAAUGGGCGCAAGCCUGAUCCAGCCAUGCCGCGUGCGGGAAGAAGGCCUUCGGGUUGUAAACCGCUUUUGUUCGGGAAGAAAUCGACCGGGUUAAUACCUCGGUUGGAUGACGGUACCGGAAGAAUAAGCACCGGCUAACUACGUGCCAGCAGCCGCGGUAAUACGUAGGGUGCGAGCGUUAAUCGGAAUUACUGGGCGUAAAGCGUGCGCAGGCGGUUUCGCAAGUCANAUGUGAAAGCCCCGGGCUCAACCUGGGAACUGCAUUUGAAACUAC